This 253-nucleotide ribosomal RNA is filed under the name uncultured bacterium. RNAcentral describes it as "partial 16S ribosomal RNA". It matches the Rfam family "Bacterial small subunit ribosomal RNA", at positions 524 to 776 of the family's 1533-position model. The record is from RNAcentral.
UACGUAGGUGGCAAGCGUUGUUCGGAAUUAUUGGGCGUAAAGGGCGCGUAGGCGGUUUGCUAAGUCAGUUGUGAAAGCCCGGGGCUCAACCCCGGAGAGUCGGCUGAUACUGGUGGACUAGAGUACGGCAGGGGAGACUGGAAUUCCUGGUGUAGCGGUGGAAUGCGCAGAUAUCAGGAGGAACACCGGUGGCGAAGGCGGGUCUCUGGGCCGUUACUGACGCUGAGGAGCGAAAGCGUGGGGAGCGAACAGG